GCGUGGGGAAUCUGCCUUUGAGCGGGGGACAACCUUUAGAAACGAAUGCUAAUACCGCAUAAAAACUUUAAACACAAGUUUUAAGUUUGAAAGAUGCAAUUGCAUCACUCAAAGAUGAUCCCGCGUUGUAUUAGCUAGUUGGUGAGGUAAAGGCUCACCAAGGCGAUGAUACAUAGCCGACCUGAGAGGGUGAUCGGCCACAUUGGGACUGAGACACGGCCCAAACUCCUACGGGAGGCGGCAGUAGGGAAUCUUCGGCAAUGGACGAAAGUCUGACCGAGCAACGCCGCGUGAGUGAAGAAGGUUUUCGGAUCGUAAAACUCUGUUGGUAGAUAAGAACGUUGGUGAGAGUGGAAAGCUCAUCAAGUGACGGUAACUACCCAGAAAGGGACGGCUAACUACGUGCCAGCAGCCGCGGUAAUACGUAGGUCCCGAGCGUUGUCCGGAUUUAUUGGGCGUAAAGCGAGCGCAGGUGGUUUAUUAAGUCUGGUGUAAAAGGCAGUGGCUCAACCAUUGUAUGCAUUGGAAACUGGUAGACUUGAGUGCAGGAGAGGAGAGUGGAAUUCCAUGUGUAGCGGUGAAAUGCGUAGAUAUAUGGAGGAACACCGGUGGCGAAAGCGGCUCUCUGGCCUGUAACUGACACUGAGGCUCGAAAGCGUGGGGAGCAAACAGGAUUAGAUACCCUGGUAGUCCACGCCGU
RNAcentral lists this ribosomal RNA (700 nucleotides) under uncultured bacterium. RNAcentral describes it as "bacterial SSU rRNA". It matches the Rfam family "Bacterial small subunit ribosomal RNA", at positions 115 to 803 of the family's 1533-position model. The record is from RNAcentral.